AAGUCUUUCUUGUAACAUGGUAGACCGCAAGUAAGACUUCAACAACUUCAAUUUUGAAAAGCUUUUUUCUGCAGAGGCAACUGUCACAGGAAUAGUUAAUAAAAUUCUAUAUGCAAUAAUUGUAUUAGGAAAACAAUUCAUGUCUUUCAAAAAAUUUAAUAUAUCAAUAGGCCCCAUCUUUCCUCCAGGCAACAUAUUUCUUAGUAACCUUAACUCCACACUUAUUUCUUUCCCAACAACAUCAAACUGCUCAUUAUGUUUCAACCUUUCCUCUAAAUUACUACAACAAGAGUUCAAAGUUGCAUCAUCCAACAAUCGUAAAUUUUGAGAACUAAACAAGAAACCAAAAACACUUUCAUAUUGUUGGUAUUGCUCAAAUCUCGUUUUAAGAGAUACAACAGCUUGAUCAACAAGGUAAAGAAAAUAAUUAACCCUAAAAGAUUCCUUUCCAGAUAGCUCGACUGACGCGGUACUCAAAUUCUCAUCAAAUUGUCUUUUUCUUUGAAUUUUACGCUUUUGAGAAAAUACUGGAUCAAUGUUCAAUUCAAGAGCAAUUUCCGUAGCAUAAUUCAAGACAUUUUUAAAACCAGUUUCUCUAUAUUCCUCAAAAAAUGAAAUCAACCCCUUUAUUUUUUCCAUAGCAAAAUCAAUAAGCAUAUCACUUGACUGUAAGAGCUUGCUAACCGUAUGAAUUGCAAAUAAUAUUUCAUACCAAAUAACUAUCGCCACUAAAAACUUAAAAUCACCAAGCUCAUUUGUUGCUAAGGAUUUGGCUUCACUUUCUAUUUUAGAAUCUGAAUCAUUUUCUGACACUUCAAGUAAAACUUCUCUAAAAUCUGACAUUUGAAGUCUUAUAGCUUUGACACUAUCUAUAUGACUCUCCUAACGAGUGGAUGACAAUGAUUUCGGAGUCAACCCUUUUACAUUAUCUUUUAAAAUUUGCCAUCUCUUGGUAGAAUUGGCAAAAAUAGUAUAAAUGCGUUGAACAACUCCAAAAAAUUCUUUAGCUUUGCGACAAGAGUUUGCCAUAUCACACAAUACCAAAUUGAGACUAUGACAACCACAAGGAGUAUAAAAGGCUCUAGGAUUUAUAUCUAAAAACCUCUUUUGUACACCUUGAUGUUUUCCUUUCAUAUUCGACCCAUUGUCAUAACCUUGUCCUCGCACAUCAAAUAGGUCUAGAUCAAGCUUUUUCAAUUCAUCUUGUAAAACAUCAAAAAGACCCUGCCCUGUUGUAUCAUCCACAUUCAAAAAUCCUAAGAAAGAUUCCUCAAUCCUAUUUGAAGAAACAUUCACGUAUCGUAUUAACAAAGACAUUUGUUCUUGAUGACUAACAUCAGGGGUACAAUCAAGUAUCACUGAAAAAUACUUUGCUUGUUUUAUUUUUCUAAUAAUUUCAUUUUUAAUUUCAGAAGCAAGCAAAAGUAUUAGUUCAUUUUGGAUAUUAUGCCCAAGAUAGUGAACAUGAAGAUUGUCAUCUGUAAUACGUCUUACAUGUUCUUGGACAAUUUGGUCAAAUUCAGCUACCAUUUCAAUUAAACCUAAAAAAUUACCAUUGCUAUUUUGGUACAAUUUCUCAUUAUGACCACGGAAGGCCAAAUUUUUUCUACCAAGGAAUUUCACUAUUGAAAUAAUUCUUUUUAAAACAUUUUUUCAGUGAUCUUUUUCUUUAUCAAUCAAUAUUUGAAUUGAUUUAUCAAUAGUUUGAAAUUUUUUCAACUUUUGACGCAACUCAUACCAAGUAGUCAUAUUCUUAACAUGUUCCAUGCAAGUCUCAUGCUCUUUCAGUCUUUGAUUAACAUGUAUCAAAUCACUAAAACCCUCAUUUACUAAUUGACCAAUAGUAAUCCCUCUUUUUAAAAACUUUAAAACAAAAGCAAAAUACUCUAUCAAGCUCUUUUGAAUAAACAAGUCAAUCUCUAUCACAUGUCUCUCCAUUUGGCAAAACUCUAGUAUACCAAUUAGCUAAAAAGCGUCUAGAAAAUUUAUCCUUAGGACCCUUCACAAUAGAACAAUCUCUUUUAGGACCUUUUGUAACUAAUAAAUCUCGCAUUCUAGAAUCAAGAGAAUCCCAAAUAGUUGGAUCAAAUAUAUCAUGACCAAUAUCAUUCACAUCAACAUUUUCGGCACGAACAAUUUCAUUAUCAUCAUCAACAUUUUCAUUUUCAACAUCAACAACAUUUUCAACAUCAAUAUUAUUAUUAACAUUUUCAGCAUUUUCAAUAUCAACAGUUUGAACAUCAACAAUAUCAGCAUCAAUAUUUUCACAUUUUGUGGUUCUUUAAUAAUAAAUUUUUCGAUAGCUCCUGAUUGAAAUUGAGUUAAUUUCUCAAGUCUUAUCUUUUUCUUACGCUUUACAUAUCCACAAUCAUAUUUCCUACCCUUAGAAAGUGACUUAGGAGGCAUUGAGGGACAAAAAUAGAACCUGAAAAUUCUCACCGUUCUGGAUCGAUUCCGCAGGACCGCAACAUUGAAGUAGAACCAAAUAGACAACAUUGAAGUUGAACCGGAAAAAAAAGAAAAAAAGAACGUAAUUAGCAAUUAAAAC
This 2548-nucleotide long non-coding RNA is filed under the name Trifolium pratense (red clover). Its description in RNAcentral is "long non-coding RNA (TPRA_LNC001226)". The record is from RNAcentral. Lineage: Eukaryota; Viridiplantae; Streptophyta; Magnoliopsida; Fabales; Fabaceae.